AUCCAGCUGAUGAGUCCCAAAAAUAGAACGAAAUGUGCGUUAUGGAU
Schistosoma rodhaini is the source of this 47-nucleotide non-coding RNA. The record is from Rfam. Lineage: Eukaryota; Metazoa; Platyhelminthes; Trematoda; Strigeidida; Schistosomatidae.